AUUGAACGCUGGCGGCAGGCCUAACACAUGCAAGUCGAGCGGCAGCGGAAAGUAGCUUGCUACUUUGCCGGCGAGCGGCGGACGGGUGAGUAAUGUCUGGGGAUCUGCCUGAUGGAGGGGGAUAACUACUGGAAACGGUAGCUAAUACCGCAUAACGUCGCAAGACCAAAGAGGGGGACCUUCGGGCCUCUUGCCAUCAGAUGAACCCAGAUGGGAGUUAGCUAGUAGGUGGGGUAACGGCUCACCUAGGCGACGAUCCCUAGCUGGUCUGGGAGGAUGACCAGCCACACUGGAACUGAGACACGGUCCAGACUCCUACGGGAGGCAGCAGUGGGGAAUAUUGCACAAUGGGCGCAAGCCUGAUGCAGCCAUGCCGCGUGUAUGAAGAAGGCCUUCGGGUUGUAAAGUACUUUCAGCGAGGAGGAAGGCGUUAAGGUUAAUAACCUUAGCGAUUGACGUUACUCGCAGAAGAAGCACCGGCUAACUCCGUGCCAGCAGCCGCAGUAA
This 507-nucleotide ribosomal RNA is filed under the name uncultured bacterium. RNAcentral's name for it is "partial 16S ribosomal RNA". It matches the Rfam family "Bacterial small subunit ribosomal RNA", at positions 30 to 523 of the family's 1533-position model. The record is from RNAcentral.